GCGUAUUUCUGUGUUAAUUUACUGGCCGAUUGUGGCUGUCGAGUAUCUCCGAAGCUACAGGGGAAAAAAAACGAUAAACUAACAAAAUCUCAAAAUUCAGUGUUUUCAUCUUUGCGAUUACACUGCUCUCCUGUUCUUUUUCAGCAAUGCGGUUUCCGUUUAUCUCACGUAGAACCUACUGCGCAGCUUUAUCUGCAUCAUCCUCCAAUUCCCAGAUUUCCCAUUUCGCUCGUAUCGGUCAAAUUAAUAGAGCUCGAAGAAUAUUUGAUAAGUUGCCUCACAAAACCGUUGUUUCUUGGAAUGCAAUUGUUGGUGGCUACUUCCAAAACAGGCAGCCCCGCGAGGCGCAGAAUUUGUUUGAUAAGAUGCCUGACAGAAACACGGUGUCUUGGAAUGGAUUGAUUUCUGGGUAUGUUAAAAAUGGUAUGAUUAUGGAUGCGAGAAAAGUGUUUGAUAAAAUGCCAGAAAGAAAUGUUGUUUCGUGGACAGCUAUGGUCAGGGGCUACGUGCAGGAGGGGAUGAUAAAAGAGGCAGAGUCACUCUUUUGGGAAAUGCCUGAGAAGAAUGUGGUUUCUUGGACUGUUAUGUUGGGUGGUUUGAUUGAAGAUGGACGUGUUGAUGAAGCCAGAAAGCUUUUUGAUAUGAUGCCAGUGAAGGAUGUUGUUGCUAGGACUAAUAUGAUUGGAGGGUUGUGCCUGGAGGGAAGAUUAAGUGAAGCAAGAGAAAUUUUUGAUGAGAUGCCAAAAAGGAAUGUCAUUGCUUGGACUGCUAUGAUUAGUGGUUAUUCCAUGAAUAACAAGUUAGAUGUGGCUAGGAAGUUGUUUGAAGUAAUGCCGGAUAAGAAUGAGGUGACAUGGACGGCAAUGUUGAUGGGAUAUACUCGGAGCGCUAGGAUUAAGGAAGCUGCUGAACUUUUCGAGGUAAUGCCAAUGAAGCCAGUUGCUGCUUGUAACGAGAUGAUCAUUGGAUUUGGACAGAAUGGGGAGGUAGGGAAAGCAAAGUGGGUAUUUGAUCAAAUGAGAGAGAAGGAUGAUGGGACAUGGAGUGCCAUGAUCAAGGUUUAUGAGAGAAAAGGAUUUGAAUUGGAAGCCCUCAAUUUGUUUAGUUUGAUGCAAAGGGAAGGAGUUAGGCCAAAUUUCCCAUCUACAAUAAGCAUUCUUUCCGUUUGUGGUAGCUUGGCAAGUCUUGAUCAUGGCAGACAGGUCCAUGCACAAUUGGUAAGAUCCCAGUUUGAUUCUGAUUUGUAUGUUUCCUCGGUUUUGAUUACAAUGUACAUUAAAUGUGGUGAUAUUGUAAAGGCAAAGAGGGUAUUUGAUACGUUUUCUACGAAGGAUACUAUCAUGUGGAAUUCAAUUAUUACGGGUUACGCACAGCAUGGUUUAGGAAAUGAAGCUAUUCAAGUUUUCCAUGACAUGCUCUCUACAGGCGUUGCACCAGAUGAAAUUACCUUUAUUGGAGUUCUGACAGCAUGUAGUUACAGUGGAAAGAUUAAAGAAGGGCUUGAUAUUUUUGAGUCAAUGAAAUCUAGAUAUCUAGUGGAUCCAAGAAUUGAGCAUUAUGCUUGCAUGGUUGAU
This 1574-nucleotide unclassified non-coding RNA is filed under the name Hevea brasiliensis (rubber tree). The record is from RNAcentral. Lineage: Eukaryota; Viridiplantae; Streptophyta; Magnoliopsida; Malpighiales; Euphorbiaceae.